RNAcentral lists this ribosomal RNA (468 nucleotides) under uncultured bacterium. RNAcentral's name for it is "partial 16S ribosomal RNA". It matches the Rfam family "Bacterial small subunit ribosomal RNA", at positions 28 to 507 of the family's 1533-position model. The record is from RNAcentral.
GACGAACGCUGGCGGCGUGCUUAACACAUGCAAGUCGAACGGAAAGGCCCUGCUUUUGUGGGGUGCUCGAGUGGCGAACGGGUGAGUAACACGUGAGUAACCUGCCCUUGACUUUGGGAUAACUUCAGGAAACUGGGGCUAAUACCGGAUAGGAGCUCCUGCUGCAUGGUGGGGGGUGGAAAGUUUCGGCGGUUGGGGAUGGACUCGCGGCUUAUCAGCUUGUUGGUGGGGUAGUGGCUUACCAAGGCUUUGACGGGUAGCCGGCCUGAGAGGGUGACCGGCCACAUUGCGACUGAGAUACGGCCCAGACUCCUACGGGAGGCAGCAGUGGGGAAUAUUGCACAAUGGGCGGAAGCCUGAUGCAGCAACGCCGCGUGCGGGAUGACGGCCUUCGGGUUGUAAACCGCUUUCGCCUGUGACGAAGCGUGAGUGACGGUAAUGGGUAAAGAAGCACCGGCUAACUACGUG